GACGAACGCUGGCGGCGUGCUUAACACAUGCAAGUCGAACGAAGAGCGAUGGAAGCUUGCUUCUAUCAAUCUUAGUGGCGAGCGGGUGAGUAACGCGUAAUCAACCUGCCCUUCAGAGGGGGACAACAGUUGGAAACGACUGCUAAUACCGCAUACGAUCUAAACUCGGCAUCGAGGAUAGAUGAAAGGUGGCCUCUACAUGUAAGCUAUCACUGAAGGAGGGGAUUGCGUCUGAUUAGCUAGUUGGAGGGGUAACGGCCCACCAAGGCGAUGAUCAGUAGCCGGUCUGAGAGGAUGAACGGCCACAUUGGGACUGAGACACGGCCCAGACUCCUACGGGAGGCAGCAGUGGGGAAUCUUCCGCAAUGGACGAAAGUCUGACGGAGCAACGCCGCGUGAGUGAUGACGGCCUUCGGGUUGUAAAGCUCUGUUAAUCGGGACGAAAGGCCUUCUUGCGAAUAGUGAGAAGGAUUGACGGUACCGGAAGAGAAAGCCACGGCUAACUACGUG
RNAcentral lists this ribosomal RNA (510 nucleotides) under uncultured bacterium. RNAcentral's name for it is "partial 16S ribosomal RNA". It matches the Rfam family "Bacterial small subunit ribosomal RNA", at positions 28 to 507 of the family's 1533-position model. The record is from RNAcentral.